RNAcentral lists this ribosomal RNA (440 nucleotides) under uncultured bacterium. RNAcentral describes it as "partial 16S ribosomal RNA". It matches the Rfam family "Bacterial small subunit ribosomal RNA", at positions 338 to 795 of the family's 1533-position model. The record is from RNAcentral.
CCUACGAGGGGCUGCAGUAGGGAAUAUUGCUCAAUGGGGGAAACCCUGAAGCAGCAACGCCGCGUGGAGGAUGCAGGUUUUAGGAUUGUACACUCCUUUUGUGAGAGAAGAUAAUGACGUUAUCUCACGAAUAAGCACCGGCUAACUCCGUGCCAGCAGCCGAGGUAAGACGGAGGGUGCAAGCAUUACUCGGAUUCACUGGGCGUAAAGAGUGCGCAGGCGGGCUUGUAAGUCAGAUGUGAAAUCCUUUAGCUUAACUGCAGAACUGCAUUUGAAACUAUGAGUCUAGAGUGUGGGAGAGGUAGGUGGAAUUCUUGGUGUAGGGGUAAAAUCCGUAGAUAUCUAGAGGAAUACUCGUGGCGAAGGCGACCUACUGGAACAUUACUGACGCUCAUGCACGAAAGCGUGGGGAGCAAACAGGAUUAGAUACCCUAGUAGUC